Molecule: ribosomal RNA, 829 nt
Filed under: uncultured archaeon
Lineage: Archaea
Description: bacterial SSU rRNA
Rfam family: Archaeal small subunit ribosomal RNA
Source: RNAcentral
CGAUUAAGCCAUGCGAGUCGAGAGGGUUCGGCCCUCGGCGUACUGCUCAGUAACACGUGGAUAACCUGCCCUAGGGAAGGGGAUAACCCCGGGAAACUGGGGAUAAUACCCUAUAGAUUACAGAUGCUGGAAUGCCCUGUAAUCCAAAGUUCCGACGCCCUAGGAUGGAUCUGCGGCCGAUUAGGUUGUUGUUGGGGUAAUGGCCCAACAAGCCCGUAAUCGGUACGGGUUGUGGGAGCAAGAGCCCGGAGUUGGAUUCUGAGACACGAAUCCAGGCCCUACGGGGCGCAGCAGGCGCGAAAACUUUACAAUGCGGGCAACCGUGAUAAGGGAACCUCGAGUGCCUGUAAAUGCAGGCUGUUCAGGUGCCUAAAACACACCUGAAGAAAGGGCCGGGCAAGACCGGUGCCAGCCGCCGCGGUAAUACCGGCGGCUCGAGUGGUGGCCGCUUUUAUUGGGCUUAAAGCGUUCGUAGCUGGGUUGUUAAGUCUCUUGGGAAAUCUGGCGGCUUAACCGUCAGGCGCCUAAGGGAUACUGGCAAUCUUGGAACCGGGAGAGGUGAGGGGUACUUCGGGGGUAGGAGUGAAAUCCUGUAAUCCUCGAGGGACCACCUGUGGCGAAGGCGCCUCACCAGAACGGCUUCGACAGUGAGGGACGAAAGCUGGGGGAGCAAACCGGAUUAGAUACCCGGGUAGUCCCAGCCGUAAACUAUGCGCGUUAGGUGUAUCGGUGACCACGAGUUACCGAGGUGCCGAAGGGAAACCGUGAAACGUGCCGCCUGGGAAGUACGGUCGCAAGGCUGAAACUUAAAGGAAUUGGCGGGGGAGCA